GGGAGUAUAGCUCAGUGGUAGAGUAUUUGACUGCAGCUCCAGAGGUCCCUGGUUCAAUUCCAGGUGCUCCCU
Mauremys reevesii (Reeves's turtle) is the source of this 72-nucleotide non-coding RNA. Lineage: Eukaryota; Metazoa; Chordata; Testudines; Geoemydidae. The record is from the annotation of a RefSeq genome assembly.